This 392-nucleotide ribosomal RNA is filed under the name uncultured bacterium. RNAcentral's name for it is "bacterial SSU rRNA". It matches the Rfam family "Bacterial small subunit ribosomal RNA", at positions 29 to 426 of the family's 1533-position model. The record is from RNAcentral.
AUUGAACGCUGGCGGCAUGCCUUACACAUGCAAGUCGAACGGUAACGCGGGGCAACCUGGCGACGAGUGGCGAACGGGUGAGUAAUGCAUCGGAACGUGCCCAGUAGUGGGGGAUAGCCCGGCGAAAGCCGGAUUAAUACCGCAUACGACCUACGGGUGAAAGCGGGGGACCGUAAGGCCUCGCGCUAUUGGAGCGGCCGAUGUCAGAUUAGGUAGUUGGUGGGGUAAAGGCCUACCAAGCCUUCGAUCUGUAGCUGGUCUGAGAGGACGACCAGCCACACUGGGACUGAGACACGGCCCAGACUCCUACGGGAGGCAGCAGUGGGGAAUUUUGGACAAUGGGCGCAAGCCUGAUCCAGCCAUGCCGCGUGCGGGAAGAAGGCCUCGGUUGU